UAAUCUCACUCCGACGACUUUUUUGUUGUCUGGAGGUGGACUUGGACCUUGCCGUGUCACAACGGCUGGUCUGAAAUGCAUGAGUGCACCCUGCUGUAGCAGCGUCUUCAGUGUGAUAAGUAUCUUCACUGAUUCAAGUUCCCCUCGUGGGACACGCCGCCUGGUGGGCUCUGCGCUUCUAACCGUCCGCAUGGACAACUCUUGACA
This 207-nucleotide unclassified non-coding RNA is filed under the name uncultured Serendipitaceae. Its description in RNAcentral is "sequence contains ITS2". The record is from RNAcentral. Lineage: Eukaryota; Fungi; Basidiomycota; Agaricomycetes; Sebacinales; Serendipitaceae.